UACGAAGGGGGCUAGCGUUGCUCGGAAUUACUGGGCGUAAAGCGCACGUAGGCGGAUUGUUAAGUCGGGGGUGAAAUCCUGGAGCUCAACUCCAGAACUGCCUUCGAUACUGGCAAUCUAGAGUCCGGGAGAGGUGAGUGGAACUGCGAGUGUAGAGGUGAAAUUCGUAGAUAUUCGCAAGAACACCAGUGGCGAAGGCGGCUCACUGGCCCGGUACUGACGCUGAGGUGCGAAAGCGUGGGGAGCAAACAGG
This 253-nucleotide ribosomal RNA is filed under the name uncultured bacterium. RNAcentral describes it as "partial 16S ribosomal RNA". It matches the Rfam family "Bacterial small subunit ribosomal RNA", at positions 524 to 776 of the family's 1533-position model. The record is from RNAcentral.